Long non-coding RNA from Pseudopipra pipra, 424 nucleotides. RefSeq lists it as uncharacterized. The transcript has 3 exons. Lineage: Eukaryota; Metazoa; Chordata; Aves; Passeriformes; Pipridae. The record is from RefSeq and is a predicted model, not a curated record.
UGGAAGCUGUUUCUAGGAUACAAUGUACAGCACUUCCUACUCUUGGCUCACUCUAACUUCAACCUCUCAGCUCUGUCAUUUUUUUCUGUCUAUGAAUUUAAAAUAGUUUUAUGCCACCAGAUAGUGAAGUGAAAGCAAUAGCAUUUGUCCCAGCUGUGGGUGGGAUCACCUUGCUACCGCGGUGAAAUCGAAGGGGCUGAUCUUCACAAGGAUUUUGCAUUAAGCACUGUUGUAGGAAUGUAAAUCAGGACCAAGAAGGAACAAAAUGGCUUCUGUUCCUAAGUAGAUGCUUAAGUUAUGGCCAUCAAAUAUUACAUACUCUGCAGAAGCUUUCCUGCAGAGUUGUCAUCAGGAGCGAUCCAAUCCUUUUCCGGACUGUCACAGUUUAUAAGUCAAUAAAAUAUCUGUGACUUUCCAAACUCUU